Drosophila novamexicana is the source of this 894-nucleotide long non-coding RNA. RefSeq lists it as uncharacterized. The record is from RefSeq and is a predicted model, not a curated record. The transcript is spliced from 3 exons. Lineage: Eukaryota; Metazoa; Arthropoda; Insecta; Diptera; Drosophilidae.
GAACUCGGCAACUGUUUAGAGUUGAGAUCUUAUUUCUGUGCGUGAGCAGUCAAAAAGGGAAUGUUCAGUUUGAGCUUGAAGUAUGUUGCUUUUUGAUAUACUUGUGUUGUGCAGAGUUGAAGCCAACUUUUGUAAGUUUGUGGCAUUUAAAAGCGUGUCUAGUCGCUUUUGUUGCGGGCAUAUCCUUGUUGCACACCGUUUGGAUACCCUUUCGAAGGAUACUCGAACUUGCAAAUCAAAUAUGUAACGCCUUGAGGUCCGAGUCCAUAAGAAUAGAAUAGAUGGGAAAAUCCAAUGCAGAAUACCUAUAGAUCUCCUUGGAAAUUAUCAAACGAGUUUUUGAAGAAUUUCUUAUUCGUCAGAUAUAUGUUUCAUGAGCAGCAACUAGGAAUCUCAUUACGCUCCUAUCAAAGAAGCAACCAAUCUGUAACUGACAACUAAAUCUUAUUGGAAUCAUUAUUUGACUCAUCCUACAGGGUAUUCAAAGCACACAAAUCCUUCGUGGGAAGCCAUACGAAACUCAAACUCAAACAGCUCAACGGACGCGGCUCAGCACAUGACGAGCUGAUGAUAACGAUGAUGUUGUCAGUUGUCGCUGCAUGUUGCAUGUUCCUUCUUGUUGCAGUUGUUGCUGUUGUUGUUGUUGUUGUUGUUGUGGCUUUGAUGGCUAGACGAAAGCCAAACCCAACUAAACUAUUUUUUGUUGGCUGACCAGACGGGCGUUACGCUGAUUAGGAGGGGGUUGAAAGCUCUCUUUCUCUCUUUCUUUUUUUUUGCAUUACAUUUGCCUGGCGUGGCAUGUGGCAAUCAGCACAACAACAACAACAACAGUGAGGGAAAAACCCGAAGAGUGCCCAGUGAAAAUUUAUAUUGAGUCGAGCGUAAAAAUAACAA